AAUAGACGUCGGUGGAUGGUGGUGUAGUGGUGAAGGCUCAAGCCAGCGAAGCCUUGGACGGUGGUGCCGUGGUGGUACUGUGGGCUAUGGAAGCCAACCUUUUUCAGUGUUGAUUGCUUGAUGUUGAAGCCCUAGUUCUCCGGGAAAAUAUUGGAGAAAAGAAGCAAUGAGGUCCCAAAUGAAACAAAAGUUUAAAAAAUAUUGGGGAGAUCCAGAAAAAAUGAACUUCUUCAUAUUUUAUGCCAAUAUUUUGGAUCCUAGGAUUAAGAUUGAGUAUAUGCCUCAUCAAUUUGCCUAGUUGUAUGGUGAAGAAAAAGGCAAAUCAUGUUUUGCAAAGGUUCAAGUUGCAAUGGUUGAGCUGUUUAAUGACUGUGCAGCCACCUAAAGUGUCACCUCUGUGCAGUUUGCAUCCUCUACUGUGCAAUCUGAACCAGUUCAUGUCCAUUCUCAAACUACAGUUGGAAAACCUCAAUCUAGACUGAAAAGCCAGAUGAAAAAA
Molecule: long non-coding RNA, 499 nt
Organism: Ipomoea nil (Japanese morning glory)
Lineage: Eukaryota; Viridiplantae; Streptophyta; Magnoliopsida; Solanales; Convolvulaceae
Exons: 2
Source: RefSeq, a predicted model, not a curated record